UGAUGCAUAGCCGAGUUGAGAGACUGAUCGGCCACAUUGAGACUGAGACACGGCCCAAAACUCCUACGGGGAGGCAGCAGUAGGGAAUCUUCCACAAUGGACGAAAGUCUGAUGGAGCAACGCCGCGUGAGUGAAGAAGGUUUUCGGAUCGUAAAAGCUCUGUUGUUGGUGAAGAAGGAUAGAGGUAGUAACUGGCCUUUAUUUGACGGUAAUCAACCAGAAGUCACGGCUAACUACGUGCCAGCAGCCGCGGUAAU
This 257-nucleotide ribosomal RNA is filed under the name uncultured Lactobacillus sp. Its description in RNAcentral is "partial 16S ribosomal RNA". It matches the Rfam family "Bacterial small subunit ribosomal RNA", at positions 277 to 524 of the family's 1533-position model. The record is from RNAcentral. Lineage: Bacteria; Bacillati; Bacillota; Bacilli; Lactobacillales; Lactobacillaceae.